GAUCUGGACGAGGAAUUCAGGCUUUGGCGAUGUCUUGCGUACUUUGAUAGUGCAAACAAAAGGAUAGUUGUCUGCACACUGCUUUCAACACCAAGGGAAUGUGCAGUGGAAAGUUCUGAGGAAGAUACACUGCUACUGUUCCAGGUCUCUCUACAUAUGUGAUAGCUUGCUCUUCUGGUCCUAUCCUGUUUGGAGUUCCAUGAAGGCAAGUAGUUUAAUCUUUUUGUUUGUUUUGUUUAUUUAUUUUAUUAUUAUUAUUAUUUUUUACCAGAGCACUGCUCAGCUCUGGCUUAUGGUGGGGUGGGGAAUUGAACCUGGGACUUCGGAGCCUCAGGCAUGAAAGUCUAUUUGCAUAACCAUUAUGGUAUUUACCCCACCCAGUAGUUUAAUCUUUAUUACCAUGUCCCUAAUAUUAAGAACCAUACUUGUUGCAAACUUUGCUCCCAAUGAUUGUUUAUAACCUAGUGAAUACUUAGAACCACCUCCUUAGCCUACAGUCAAAUGAGCUGCAGCUAGUUUUAUAGUAGUACCAUAGCUUCUCAAUUGCCUUCUCUGACAGUGGUUGCUAUCCUCUCAGGUAAAUGAAUCAUAAAUA
Molecule: long non-coding RNA, 595 nt
Organism: Erinaceus europaeus (western European hedgehog)
Lineage: Eukaryota; Metazoa; Chordata; Mammalia; Eulipotyphla; Erinaceidae
Exons: 3
Source: RefSeq, a predicted model, not a curated record